This 254-nucleotide unclassified non-coding RNA is filed under the name uncultured Acidimicrobiia bacterium. RNAcentral describes it as "contains 16S-23S intergenic spacer region". It matches the Rfam family "Bacterial small subunit ribosomal RNA", at positions 524 to 776 of the family's 1533-position model. The record is from RNAcentral. Lineage: Bacteria; Bacillati; Actinomycetota; Acidimicrobiia.
CACGUAGGGGGCAAGCGUUGUCCGGAAUUAUUGGGCGUAAAGAGCUCGUAGGCGGCUCGGUAAGUCGGGUGUGAAAGUUCAGGGCUCAACCCUGAGAUGCCAUUCGAUACUGCCGUGGCUAGAGUCCGGUAGAGGAGCGUGGAAUUCCUGGUGUAGCGGUGAAAUGCGUAGAUACUCGGAGGAACACCAGUGGCGAAGGCGGCUACCUGGACGGGUACUGACGCUGAGGCGCGAAAGCAUGGGGAGCAAACAGG